GUAACGGCGAGUGAAGCGGUAACAGCUCAAAUUUGAAAUCUGGCUCCUCGGGGCCCGAAUUGUAAUUUGUAGAAGAUGCUUUGGGUCUGGGCCUGGCCUAAGUUCCUUGGAACAGGACGUCGUAGAGGGUGAGAAUCCCGUAUGCGGCUGGCGCCCGUGCCCGUGUAAAGCUCUUUCAACGAGUCGAGUUGUUUGGGAAUGCAGCUCUAAAUGGGUGGUAAAUUUCAUCUAAAGCUAAAUAUUGGCCAGAGACCGAUAGCGCACAAGUAGAGUGAUCGAAAGAUGAAAAGCACUUUGGAAAGAGAGUUAAACAGUACGUGAAAUUGUUGAAAGGGAAGCGCUGGCAACCAGACUUGGGCGCUGUUGAUCCGCUAGGGUUCUCUCUAGGGCACUCGGCAGUGCGCAGGCCAGCAUCGGUUUGGGGGGUUGGAGAAUGGCUGGUGGAAUGUGGCUGUCUUUGGGCAGUGUUAUAGCCACCGGUGGCAUGCAGCCUCCCCGGACCGAGGACCGCGCUUCGGCUAGGAUGCUGGCGUAAUGGUUGUCAGCGACCCGUCUUGAAACACGGACCAAGGAGUCUAACAUCUAUGCGAGUGUUUGGGUGUUAAACCCAUACGCGGAAUGAAAGUGAACGUAGGUGAGAACCCGCAAGGGUGCAUCAUCGACCGAUCCUGAUGUCUUCGGAUGGAUUUGAGUAAGAGCAUAGCUGUUGGGACCCGAAAGAUGGUGAACUAUGCCUGAAUAGGGUGAAGCCAGAGGAAACUCUGGUGGAGGCUCGCAGCGGUUCUGACGUGCAAAUCGAUCGUC
RNAcentral lists this ribosomal RNA (804 nucleotides) under Podosphaera xanthii. Its description in RNAcentral is "eukaryotic LSU rRNA". It matches the Rfam family "Eukaryotic large subunit ribosomal RNA", at positions 83 to 906 of the family's 3401-position model. The record is from RNAcentral. Lineage: Eukaryota; Fungi; Ascomycota; Leotiomycetes; Helotiales; Erysiphaceae.